RNAcentral lists this small RNA (78 nucleotides) under Sinorhizobium meliloti 2011. RNAcentral's name for it is "putative ncRNA". The record is from RNAcentral. Lineage: Bacteria; Pseudomonadati; Pseudomonadota; Alphaproteobacteria; Hyphomicrobiales; Rhizobiaceae.
AUCCCAUGGGCGCGUUGUCGGGUGCGAUCGAACACAACGGCGUCCCCUCUCCCCGCGCGCGGGGAGAGGGUUAGGGUG